GAUGAACGCUGGCGGCGUGCUUAACACAUGCAAGUCGAACGGAAAGGCCCAAGCUUGCUUGGGUACUCGAGUGGCGAACGGGUGAGUAACACGUGGGUGAUCUGCCCUGCACUUCGGGAUAAGCCUGGGAAACUGGGUCUAAUACCGGAUAGGACCACUUCUUGGAUGUUGUGGUGGAAAGUUUUUUCGGUGUGGGAUGAGCUCGCGGCCUAUCAGCUUGUUGGUGGGGUAAUGGCCUAACAAGGCGUCGACGGGUAGCCGGCCUGAGAGGGUGUACGGCCACAUUGGGACUGAGAUACGGCCCAGAACCCUACGGGAGGGAGGAGGGGGGGAUAUUGCACAAUGGGGGCAAGCCUGAUGCAGCGACGCCGCGUGGGGGAUGACGGCCUUCGGGUUGGAAACUCCUUUCGCUAGGGACGAAGCGUUUUGUGACGGUACCUGGAGAAGAAGCACCGGCUAACUACGUG
RNAcentral lists this ribosomal RNA (467 nucleotides) under uncultured bacterium. RNAcentral describes it as "partial 16S ribosomal RNA". It matches the Rfam family "Bacterial small subunit ribosomal RNA", at positions 28 to 507 of the family's 1533-position model. The record is from RNAcentral.